UACGUAGGGUGCAAGCGUUGUCCGGAAUUAUUGGGCGUAAAGAGCUCGUAGGCGGUUUGUCGCGUCGGCCGUGAAAUCUCCACGCUUAACGUGGAGCGUGCGGUCGAUACGGGCAGACUUGAGUUCGGUAGGGGAGACUGGAAUUCCUGGUGUGGCGGUGGAAUGCGCAGAUAUCAGGAGGAACACUGGUGGCGAAGGCGGGUCUCUGGGCAGUAACUGACGCUGAGGAGCGAAAGCGUGGGGAGCGAACAGG
RNAcentral lists this ribosomal RNA (253 nucleotides) under uncultured bacterium. RNAcentral's name for it is "partial 16S ribosomal RNA". It matches the Rfam family "Bacterial small subunit ribosomal RNA", at positions 524 to 776 of the family's 1533-position model. The record is from RNAcentral.